AUGGCUCAGGAUGAACGCUGGCGGCAGGCCUAACACAUGCAAGUCGAACGGUAACAGGAAGCAGCUUGCUGCUUGCUGACGAGUGGCGGACGGGUGAGUAAUGUCUGGGAAACUGCCCGAUGGAGGGGGAUAACUACUGGAAACGGUAGCUAAUACCGCAUAACGUCGCAAGACCAAAGAGGGGGACCUUCGGGCCUCUUGCCAUCGGAUGUGCCCAGAUGGGAUUAGCUUGUUGGUGAGGUAACGGCUCACCAAGGCGACGAUCCCUAGCUGGUCUGAGAGGAUGACCAGCCACACUGGAACUGAGACACGGUCCAGACUCCUACGGGAGGCAGCAGUGGGGAAUAUUGCACAAUGGGCGCAAGCCUGAUGCAGCCAAUGCCGCGUGUAUGAAGAAGGCCUUCGGGUUGUAAAGUACUUUCAGCGGGGAGGAAGGGGUUAAGGUUAAUAACCUUAGCCAUUGACGUUACCCGCAGAAGAAGCACCGGCUAACUCCGUGCCAGCCGCCGC
This 510-nucleotide ribosomal RNA is filed under the name uncultured bacterium. RNAcentral describes it as "bacterial SSU rRNA". It matches the Rfam family "Bacterial small subunit ribosomal RNA", at positions 19 to 518 of the family's 1533-position model. The record is from RNAcentral.